Molecule: ribosomal RNA, 279 nt
Filed under: Desulfitobacterium enrichment culture
Lineage: Bacteria; Bacillati; Bacillota; Clostridia; Eubacteriales; Desulfitobacteriaceae
Description: partial 16S ribosomal RNA
Rfam family: Bacterial small subunit ribosomal RNA
Source: RNAcentral
ACUCCUACGGGAGGCAGCAGUGGGGAAUCUUCCGCAAUGGACGAAAGUCUGACGGGGCAACGCCGCGUGUACGACGAAGGCCUUCGGGUUGUAAAGUACUGUCUUCAGGGACGAACGGUAUCUAUGUGAAUAAUGUGGGUGCAUGACGGUACCUGAGGAGGAAGCCCCGGCUAACUACGUGCCAGCAGCCGCGGUAAUACGUAGGGGGCAAGCGUUGUCCGGAAUCAUUGGGCGUAAAGGGCGCGUAGGCGGAUACUUAAGUCUGGUGUGAAAACUUAG